UGCUGACGAGUCCCAAACAGGACGAAACAGCAGUCCA
Molecule: non-coding RNA, 37 nt
Filed under: Echinostoma caproni
Lineage: Eukaryota; Metazoa; Platyhelminthes; Trematoda; Plagiorchiida; Echinostomatidae
Source: RNAcentral